RNAcentral lists this ribosomal RNA (440 nucleotides) under uncultured bacterium. RNAcentral describes it as "partial 16S ribosomal RNA". It matches the Rfam family "Bacterial small subunit ribosomal RNA", at positions 338 to 795 of the family's 1533-position model. The record is from RNAcentral.
CCUACGGGAGGCUGCAGUGGGGAAUAUUGCACAAUGGGCGAAAGCCUGAUGCAGCAACGCCGCGUGAGUGAAGAAGUAUUUCGGGAUGUAAAGCUCUAUUAGCAGGGAAGAAAAUGACAGUACCUGACUCAGAAUCCCCGGCUAACUCCGUGCCAGCAGCCGCGGUAAUACGUAGGAGGCAAGCGUUAUCCGGAUUUACUGGGUGUAAAGGGAGCGUAGACGGCUGCGCAAGUCAGAAGUGAAAGCCCGGGGCUCAACCGCGGGACUGCAAUUGAGACUGUGUAGCUAGAGUGCAGUAGAGGUAGGUGGAAUUCGUAGUGUAGCGGUGAAAUGCGUAGAUAUUAGGAAGAACACCGAUGGCGAAGGCAGCUUACUAAACUGUCACUGACGUUGAGGCUCGAAAGCGUGGGGAGCAAACAGGAUUAGAUACCCCAGUAGUC